GGAAAGGAAUAGCCUCGGGAAACUGGGAGUAAUGCCUUAUAAGAUACGUUUGUCGCAUGGCAUUUGUAUUAAACGCUCCGGCGCCAUAGGAUGGACCCGCGUCCCAUUAGCUAGUUGGUGAGAUAACAGCUCACCAAGGCCACGAUGGGUAACCGGUCUGAGAGGGCGAACGGUCACACUGGAACUGAGACACGGUCCAGACUCCUACGGGAGGCAGCAGUGGGGAAUAUUGCGCAAUGGGGGCAACCCUGACGCAGCAAUACCGCGUGAGUGAAGAAGGUUUUCGGAUCGUAAAGCUCUGUUAUUGGGGAAGAAAAAAAGACGGUACCCAAGAAGAAAGUUCCGGCUAACUACGUGCCAGCAGCCGCGGUAAUACGUAGGGAACAAGCGUUGUCCGGAUUUACUGGGCGUAAAGGGCACGCAGGCGGUUUUUUAAGUCAGAUGUGAAAGGCCACAGCUCAACUGUGGACAUGCAUUUGAAACUGAAAGACUUGAGUAUUGGAGAGGCAAGUGGAAUUCCUAGUGUAGCGGUGAAAUGCGUAGAUAUUAGGAGGAACACCGGUGGCGAAGGCGGCUUGCUGGAC
RNAcentral lists this ribosomal RNA (584 nucleotides) under uncultured bacterium. Its description in RNAcentral is "bacterial SSU rRNA". It matches the Rfam family "Bacterial small subunit ribosomal RNA", at positions 135 to 734 of the family's 1533-position model. The record is from RNAcentral.